Molecule: unclassified non-coding RNA, 240 nt
Filed under: soil metagenome
Description: partial contains 5.8S ribosomal RNA, internal transcribed spacer 2, and large subunit ribosomal RNA
Source: RNAcentral
AACGGUCUAUACCUGCGGUACCUGCGGAGGGAUCAUUACUAAAAACGAGUUCUUGAAAAGAGUUGUAGCUGGCCUUCUAUGAGGCAUGUGUAACACUCUACUCAUCUACUCUAUAAAUCCUAUGUGCAGAAGUCGCAAAGACUUAGUGUGUAAUAAUAUAUGUGGUUUAUUAUAUUUAUAUUGAUCUAAAGUUCGCAAGACUUGGAUUAAUAGCACACUUUUUCUUAUGCGCAUUUUUUU